GAGAGUUGUAACUGCACGCAUUGCCUUCUUGCAGCAAAUAACUAAACUUUGACUCGCAGCUGCUGCUGCAAUUUUUAGUGAUGGUGCUGGAACUCUAAGCUGAUCUGCACAUGCUUUCCUCUGGCCACAGGGACUGCUUCAGGAGCAACAUGGAAACGAGCUUGGAUGAAAAAGGAUGAGAAGAGACGUGCAGAACCUUCUGAGAAAGAGUUUCCCUCAUUCUUACAAGAGAAUCACAGGAAGAAACACCCUCUCUUUCUCUGGACCUUGAGGAAGGCGGAUGUGAAGGCAGCAUUUUGCGAUGGGAAAAGUCAGUGUAAGGACGAAUCCAACAAACAGAGGAAUAACAAACAGUCUUGGCAGGCAGGAUUAAGUUAAACCUGAAGCAUUCUCUGCUCUGGAAUUCCGUUAUGUGGACCCGUGAAUUCCCAGUUACUGAGCCAGUAAAAACUCAGUUCAGUCUGAGUUUCUGUUACUUUCAAGCAAAAGUAUCCUAACUGCAAAGGUUUCUGUGAAUUCCUAACUACUGGACCCUGAUCCAGGGGCAAUGCAAGAGAACGCAUGAAUAACAAUCUGAACAAACAAAUAUCAGUAAACUUCCAGUCAAACCAUUAAGAGGGAGACCUCAACAGCAAGAUCAUUUUCCAAGUGUGUGAGGCUUCAAGAGUGGGGAGAAGAUCCAGUGAGCCUUUCUGAGGGCACUCUGUUUAGUAUUCAGUAUUCGGCUUAUUAACCUGGCAGUCCUGUCCUUCUGACUUGAAUAGUUUUGUGAGUUAAGGAUAGUUUACAACUUUUCUGACUCUUGCAGGUGACUCAUUCAUCAGAUGGCCUUUCUAUACCAGCCACGUGUUUCCCACUCCUCUUCCUCCUACUUCGUGUGACGUUGCACAUUCCACAUUUUAGCUCAUUGAGCAUAAGAAAUAGGCAAGGCACAUGCGGUGACCAUAGCUACCAGGCGCCUGUGGCAGACACUGUUGGCUGUCUUCCCAAGGUCAUACCAACUUUCCCAGCUUCCUUGCUGGCGUGGCUGUCUCCCACAGCGGAGACAAAAAAUGCCAAGCACUCGCAUUCUCAGCCUCCCUGGUGACCCCAAUUCUGGCCAGUGAUGUAAAGGGAAGUCUGCUUGGAAUUUAUGAGAAAGAAGAAAAGAAAGAAAGGUUUGUCCUCACUCCCCACCCGCCGCCUUUCUGUUUUUAAUGUGAUUGUGUGAAGAUGUGAUGCUCAGAACCCAGGAGGCCAUGUUGUGACAAUGGGGGUCAAGAUCAAGAAAUUGUAGUGCUGGCCCGGGUAGCUCAGUUGGUUAGAGUGGAUAUGCCAAGGUUGUGGGUUCAAUCUCUGGUCAGCGCACAUACAAGAAUCAGCCAAUGAGUGCAUAAAUAAGUGAACAACAAAUCAAUAUUUGUCUCUCUCACCAAUCUCUCUCUCUCUCUCUCUCUCUCUCAAUUAAAAAACAAGAUCAAGAAAUUGCAGAAAAAACAGUGAAGGGAAACAGUUUGCCACCCCAAAGUAAGCCUCUUUGCAAUAUUGAUUAUUUUGAGCUGAUCAAUUUUAACAAACGGCAGACAUGGGCGAAGCUCUGAAAACUAAGUAAAAGUAAUCCUUUUAAAGGACAUUCACAUUUAUAAGGGAAAUCUCCAUUCGUAAGGGUGAUUCCCACACUGCCAGAACUUGAAAGGCAGAGGAUAAUUUUUCCUCCCUAACACCAGCUUAGAGCUUUCUGGAUUUUUGUUCUGUGAUAAAAGUAAGUUAUUUUUCACUUUAAAAUUUUAUUUAUAUUUUACUUCCAUCCAAAAACAUCUUAACUAAUAUUUACUCUUAAAAUCAAUAUAGUUUUCCCAAAUGAACAGACUGAUGAUUCAAGAUGACUUUCAGGCAGUUCAUGGUACCUACCUGGUUAUUUCUCGAUCCAGUUUCUUUGUUGCUAUGGAAAAGCAGUCCUCAACCAAAGGUAUGAGGCAUGAUAGUAAGAAGCUAGGGAAAUUCCUUGGCAAGUAGAAUGGGGAAACUGAGACAGACAGCUGAUUUAAACUGGCCUCAUCCAGCACCCAGACUCACCUGCCUCCUUCUCCCUUGCACAUCCACUCCCUUAAGCAUUAAGCCCUGAAGACAGUGAGGUUCUGAUCAGCAUCAAAUCAUCUUAGGAACAAAGCCUCAGGUCUAUUGACCACAGACACAAAGUUUUGGUCAAACUAGAGAUAGCAACUAGGCCAGCAGUUCUCAACCAGUG
Molecule: long non-coding RNA, 2227 nt
Organism: Myotis daubentonii (Daubenton's bat)
Lineage: Eukaryota; Metazoa; Chordata; Mammalia; Chiroptera; Vespertilionidae
Exons: 3
Source: RefSeq, a predicted model, not a curated record